RNAcentral lists this ribosomal RNA (484 nucleotides) under uncultured bacterium. Its description in RNAcentral is "partial 16S ribosomal RNA". It matches the Rfam family "Bacterial small subunit ribosomal RNA", at positions 30 to 507 of the family's 1533-position model. The record is from RNAcentral.
AUUGAACGCUGGCGGCAGGCCUAACACAUGCAAGUCGAGCGGAUGAAGGGAGCUUGCUCCUGGAUUCAGCGGCGGACGGGUGAGUAAUGCCUAGGAAUCUGCCUGGUAGUGGGGGAUAACGUCCGGAAACGGGCGCUAAUACCGCAUACGUCCUGAGGGAGAAAGUGGGGGAUCUUCGGACCUCACGCUAUCAGAUGAGCCUAGGUCGGAUUAGCUAGUUGGUGGGGUAAAGGCCUACUAAGGCGACGAUCCGUAACUGGCCUGAGAGGAUGAUCAGUCACACUGGAACUGAGACACGGUCCAGACUCCUACGGGAGGCAGCAGUGGGGAAUAUUGGACAAUGGGCGAAAGCCUGAUCCAGCCAUGCCGCGUGUGUGAAGAAGGUCUUCGGAUUGUAAAGCACUUUAAGUUGGGAGGAAGGGCAGUAAGUUAAUACCUUGCUGUUUUGACGUUACCAACAGAAUAAGCACCGGCUAACUUCGUG